AUUGAACGCUGGCGGCAGGCCUAACACAUGCAAGUCGAGCGGAUGAAGGGAGCUUGCUCCUGGAUUCAGCGGCGGACGGGUGAGUAAUGCCUAGGAAUCUGCCUGGUAGUGGGGGAUAACGUCCGGAAACGGGCGCUAAUACCGCAUACGUCCUGAGGGAGAAAGUGGGGGAUCUUCGGACCUCACGCUAUCAGAUGAGCCUAGGUCGGAUUAGCUAGUUGGUGGGGUAAAGGCCUACCAAGGCGACGAUCCGUAACUGGUCUGAGAGGAUGAUCAGUCACACUGGAACUGAGACACGGUCCAGACUCCUACGGGAGGCAGCAGUGGGGAAUAUUGGACAAUGGGCGAAAGCCUGAUCCAGCCAUGCCGCGUGUGUGAAGAAGGUCUUCGGAUUGUAAAGCACUUUAAGUUGGGAGGAAGGGCAGUAAGUUAAUACCUUGCUGUUUUGACGUUACCAACAGAAUAGCACCGAA
Molecule: ribosomal RNA, 473 nt
Filed under: Pseudomonas aeruginosa
Lineage: Bacteria; Pseudomonadati; Pseudomonadota; Gammaproteobacteria; Pseudomonadales; Pseudomonadaceae
Description: bacterial SSU rRNA
Rfam family: Bacterial small subunit ribosomal RNA
Source: RNAcentral